GGCAGCAGUAGGGAAUCUUCGGCAAUGGGCAAAAGCCUGACCGAGCAACGCCGCGUGAGCGAUGAAGGCCUUCGGGUCGUAAAGCUCUGUUGUUAGAGAAGAACAAGUACGAGAGUAACUGCUCGUACCUUGACGGUACCUAACCAGAAAGCCACGGCUAACUACGUGCCAGCAGCCGCGGUAAU
Molecule: ribosomal RNA, 185 nt
Filed under: uncultured bacterium
Lineage: Bacteria
Description: partial 16S ribosomal RNA
Rfam family: Bacterial small subunit ribosomal RNA
Source: RNAcentral